CAGUCGCCACGGUAAUACGUAGGGUGCAAGCGUUAAUCGGAAUUACUGGGCGUAAAGCGUGCGCAGGCGGUUAUAUAAGUCAGAUGUGAAAUCCCCGGGCUCAACCUGGGAACUGCAUUUGUGACUGUAUGGCUAGAGUGUGUCAGAGGGGGGUAGAAUUCCACGUGUAGCAGUGAAAUGCGUAGAUAUGUGGAGGAAUACCGAUGGCGAAGGCAGCCCCCUGGGAUAACACUGACGCUCAUGCACGAAAGCGUGGGGAGCAAACAGGAUUAGAUACCCCGGUAGUCCCUGUCUCUUAUAC
This 301-nucleotide ribosomal RNA is filed under the name uncultured bacterium. RNAcentral describes it as "partial 16S ribosomal RNA". It matches the Rfam family "Bacterial small subunit ribosomal RNA", at positions 509 to 807 of the family's 1533-position model. The record is from RNAcentral.